This 497-nucleotide ribosomal RNA is filed under the name uncultured bacterium. RNAcentral's name for it is "partial 16S ribosomal RNA". It matches the Rfam family "Bacterial small subunit ribosomal RNA", at positions 28 to 507 of the family's 1533-position model. The record is from RNAcentral.
GACGAACGCUGGCGGCGUGCCUAAUACAUGCAAGUUGAGCGCUGAAGGUUGGUACUUGUACCAACUGGAUGAGCAGCGAACGGGUGAGUAACGCGUGGGGAAUCUGCCUUUGAGCGGGGGACAACAUUUGGAAACGAAUGCUAAUACCGCAUAAAAACUUUAAACACAAGUUUUAAGUUUGAAAGAUGCAAUUGCAUCACUCAAAGAUGAUCCCGCGUUGUAUUAGCUAGUUGGUGAGGUAAAAGCUCACCAAGGCGAUGAUACAUAGCCGACCUGAGAGGGUGAGCGGCCACAUUGGGACUGAGACACGGCACAAACUCCUACGGGAGGCAGCAGUAGGGAAUCUUCGGCAAUGGACGAAAGUCUGACCGAGCAACGCCGCGUGAGUGAAGAAGGUGUUCGGAUCGUAAAACUCUGUUGGUAGAGAAGAACGUUGGUGAGAGUGGAAAGCUCAUCAAGUGACGGUAACUACCCAGAAAGGGACGGCUAACUACGUG